AUCUGGCGAGAAACGUUAUCGCGUAAUUGCGGGUUAAUUCGAGGCUGGCCGAAGCGUGGGCAAUUCCACGAGACACGUCUGCGAAGUUUGUCGCCGGACCGCGCUUUUGCACGCAACAUCUUCUCUGAACAAGAUACGUACUUCGUAGUUUCUUUCGUGUACCUUCGUUUACCUCCGAGAAUCACCGUAUACUGUACAACUGGCGUGGAUUCUUUCGACGAUCGUUUCUUUCUUUGGCACGAACUGUCGAAGCACGGAAAACUGUGGAUCAGCGCAAGAAACGCGAGAAAGUACUCAGGAACGCGGUACAAAAAUCGUUAAUAACGAUGAAGAAAAAGCACGGAAAGAAACACGAAUAGAAAGCGGAAAAAGGAUGGAAAAAGGAUUGAAUGGCACGAUAAAUAUUUGUCGAUGCGCUAAAACGCAACGAAGUGUCGAGAGCGGCAGCGGGGACCGUAAACGUGAAAUAUACCAGAGUUUAUAGGAUUAUCCGCAGCAGAAUGGAACCGUAAACUUAUAAUCGUGCAGAUUCUUAUGAAAUAAUGACAAACGAUAACGAACGACGUAACAUGAAGAAAGCGACGAAACUUUGGUUUCGAAAUGGCAGAAUAUCAGAACGUUCUGAUAGAAGAUAGUGCACAUACGUAACGUCAAAUUUACACAAAUUAUGAAGUUUUCGAAAGAUACGCUACUAGAGAACUAAGAUUAAACCGCGCAAGAGUAAACGAAGUUGAUCGUUCGAUGUUACCAAGCAGCUGGAAAAAAGAGGAACAGGAGGCACGGCAUCCGCGCUCGAUCGGGAUUAGCUACGAAGAAAAUUUGCGAUUAAAGUUUCUUCUCCGCCCACGAGCGUCUUUUCCGGUCGUUGCUUAGCCGUCGACUCACCACGCGGAACGAUUAAACGCUUCGCUAGGAUCGUAUCUGGUAUAGGUGAAUGGGAAAGGAAUGUCAGAAAAUCGUGGUGCACGUAGCAACGAGGGAACUUCUUCGCGAGCGCAUCGCGUCCAUCCACCAGGGCGACGUUCUUGACACGGCACACGACGUCUCGCGAGAGAUCCUUGCGUGGAAUCGAGAGACGCAUAACGGAUACCGAUUUAUGCCAGUCACAGGCAUAUCCUUCGGACUAUUUGCUCGUGGCCUCCAAACGUCAGCUUGGACCUGCGACGACCUUUUCGUUUUGCAAUUUUAUUGCUUUGUGAAUUAACGCGUUUAUUGUUCCAGCAUUUUAGAUUAUAUGUGCGUAUAUAUACGUCGUGUUCAUUUCUACUGUCGUACGUACCACUAAAAACCUAGGUCAAAUGGAAUGAUAAAACAAUUAUUUUUCAUUAGAGAGAUCAUUAUUCUAAACAAUAUUAUGUAUUUCAAUAUAGUUUUCACUGUUUUGUCUCUCUUCUCAAAUCAUUUUAUCUAAACAUACAAUCAAAAAACGCAACAGCUACGUCAGCAACAGCAUCGCUUACGCUUUGAAUCCAUAUUUUUAUGUACAGAACUAAAGGAAUAAAAUUUAAAUAGAGAUGUGGGAAAGGUUAUAAGCAGUAUAUAUAGCUUACUUUGAAUAUUCUAUAUACUUUUGCAUAUCAUAUUCGUUUCACGAAUUUUUACAUCUUUAAAUUUCUCAUAAGUUGAAAGAAGUCAUAGAAUAUUCAUCGAUAGUAACGAAUAUGUUAAAACACGGUGCGUGUACAUGGUAUAAAAAUUUCUACGAAUUGCAUGUGCUGAAGAAAAUGCGGAUGAAGCAAAGGCUAUGGCAUCGUAUACGAUGCGCCGAACGUGUUAAUACGGAGUAGUCGAUCGGUUUUCGUAUGGCCGUAUGCUCGUAAGUUUCCGCGCGAAGAAACGCGGUUUGAUUGCCGCAAUAAAAGCGUUUCGCGUGGUUUCCUUUCGUGGCCGGGUACGGUGUACACCGGCCUCGCUCCAACGACGAACCAAGAGGAAGGAAAAAAGGUCGUGCAAGAACGGGAGGGAUCGAAUACUCGUGAUUCCCCGUCAAGGAUCGGUUGGCCAACUCGGGAGAGGCGGCACGGAAUUCUGGGCUGCGCCAGCGAGGACGAAGACGCUCGAAACGCGCGGCACGGACGCGCGUUACAAUGUUAACGGGAAAAACGCGAUCAACCGCGGUACGCCGCGGUGCGCGAAAUUUUUGCCACGAUAAAAAUCAAUGGAACAAGGCUCUUCCUCCGACAACACCAACGGAAAAACCGCAAAUCGAGAUACAGAAACGGAUCUUGCUUUGAACGCGCGUUUCCCUGCUACUGAACCAAACAGGACGAUUGUUAUUUCGUUGCCGAAGGGGGAAAAAAAAAGAAUUACCGUAAUCGUACUUCCUUUACAUCGGACGAUACCCUUUUACUAUAGCAAUGGUAGAUCGGUAAAUGUUUCGGAAUUAUAGACACGGUGCUUUGUAACGAACAAUAAAAUAAAUUAUGGAGAACAAUUUUUCUGUUAGAGUAGUCAGAUGCACUUGUUGUUAGAGGACUGUAAAAUGAGAUUCUUAUCGAGUUUCGUGCUUAUUAAUCUUUUAAAGUACGUGAUUGUGGUGAAGUAUGAUUGUAUACCUAUGUAUGUAAUGCGUAUAGGUGUAUGUAGUUAAUAGGUAGGUAUAUGAACAUUAUGAAUCGCCGAGCAGUGACUACGAAAUAUAUUUGCACUUAUCACUAUACCACUGUAUUUAUUAUAACAGUCAGAUGAUAAUUAAUUAGGCCCAAGUAUACUAAAUUCGAUAUCAUUCCUAGUAGUGGUAUUCUUAUACGAUUAGUUUGCCAAUAAUGGGAGUUAAAAUAUCUUUUGUAACAACUAUAUCUCAUACAAGAUACAUCGCGUCAAUUAAUUAUCACUGUCAGCUAUUUUCUAUCAUAAAAAGAAUUGAAUCUUUUUCAACCGCUGAAUAAUGAAAAGGCGUAUGCAUUAAGGCGUUAAAUUGUAUACAUAAAAUACGUUUGUGUUUAUCGAACGAUGAACACGAUAAGAGAAGUAUCCACGCAAAAGACAAGAACAAAAUGCCUUCACAGACAGGUCACUCUCGAGUCAAUUCUGAAAACAAAUUUUCAAGAACGGUCUUUAAUACCCGCCACCAACGAUUUAACCGCGAUAACCGGUAUCAGACAGUGGUUAAUUAUCGCGAGCGACUUUUCGAUCGCGUCGCGUCGGCUAAAAGAGGGCUGGACGAAGAAGAAAUACGGUCGUGGGCGUAAGUAAUUAAGAAUAUUGGCAGCGUACUCUGGCGGCUGUGAUUUCGUAAGCGUCCAGCUUAAUUGACUCGAAUUAACGUGUUUUAAUUACACGUCGUACGGACUCGUCCUCGCCGCUUCCUUCUCAAAGCCGCCGAUUUUUUCGUUCUCCCUUCCACCCAGUCUCGUCCACGGUGGAAUACGCCAUCGAUCGUUCCUCAGGACGGCAUUAUUUUUAGCCGCGUUCGCUGUCACAAACUUCGUUAUUACUUUACGGCACGAUAUUCAUCGAGUGUGCGUGUAUUUUUAAAAAUUUCUCCUGCCCUGAACGCACGCCCGACGAACCAUCGAAUCGACCGGCUAAAUGCCGCGACUAAUUAUCGGCUAACUCAUCGCUAAUUUACGCUUCCCUUCGGUUCUUAGGACAAUGAGACAUCGAUUUCUCUGCAUAAAAGCAUCUAACAGGAUCAAUAAAGAACGAUGUUGUAUUGCUUCAAGCGUGCAUUUUCUUUUUUUUUUUUUCUUUUUUUUGCGUGUUGGAUGUCAGAGAGCUUGAGCACACGAAUAAACAAAUAAUAAAUAAAAUAUGGAAUAAUUCGAA
Bombus terrestris (buff-tailed bumblebee) is the source of this 3768-nucleotide long non-coding RNA. RefSeq lists it as uncharacterized. Lineage: Eukaryota; Metazoa; Arthropoda; Insecta; Hymenoptera; Apidae. The transcript has 3 exons. The record is from RefSeq and is a predicted model, not a curated record.